RNAcentral lists this ribosomal RNA (140 nucleotides) under uncultured bacterium. RNAcentral's name for it is "partial 16S ribosomal RNA". It matches the Rfam family "Bacterial small subunit ribosomal RNA", at positions 355 to 509 of the family's 1533-position model. The record is from RNAcentral.
UUGGGAAUAUUGGACAAUGGAGGAAACUCUGAUCCAGUGACGCCGCGUGAAGGAAGAAGGUCUUCGGAUUGUAAACUUAUUUUGUCAGGGAAGAAAAAAAUGACUGUACCUGAAGAAAAAGCACCGGCUAACUACGUGCC